CUACGGAGGGUGCGAGCGUUAAUCGGAAUUACUGGGCGUAAAGGGUGCGUAGGCGGCUUGAUAAGUCGGACGUGAAAGCGCCGGGCUUAACCUGGGAAUUGCAUUCGAUACUGUCAGGCUAGAGUAUGUCAGAGGUUGGCGGAAUUCCUGGUGUAGCGGUGAAAUGCGUAGAUAUCAGGAGGAACACCAGUGGCGAAGGCGGCUAACUGGGGCAAUACUGACGCUGAGGCACGAAAGCGUGGGGAGCAAACAGGAUUAGAAACCCCAGUAGUCC
RNAcentral lists this ribosomal RNA (274 nucleotides) under uncultured bacterium. Its description in RNAcentral is "partial 16S ribosomal RNA". It matches the Rfam family "Bacterial small subunit ribosomal RNA", at positions 523 to 796 of the family's 1533-position model. The record is from RNAcentral.